Molecule: long non-coding RNA, 2046 nt
Filed under: Triticum aestivum (bread wheat)
Lineage: Eukaryota; Viridiplantae; Streptophyta; Magnoliopsida; Poales; Poaceae
Description: long non-coding RNA (TAES_LNC013769)
Source: RNAcentral
GAAGAAGGAGCAAGCCCAGGAGAAAAACAACGAGCAGGAGAAGAAGGCCCUGGAUUGCUGUUGCUGGAGUGUUUACGGAAACAUGAUCUUCUCCCAUGUAUAGUGCGGUCACAUUUCAUGUCUACAACUCUCCAUCAAUGCACGCCGUAUAGACCAUUCUAUGCUUCUUUCUAUUAGGAACAGUGUAGAAGAGCAUUCAUAUGUUAGAUUAAAUCAGUAAAUUGAAGAUAACACAACUUACCCUGUUGGUAAAAUCAGUAAAUAGACAAAUAUUCUUCUUUAUAAGUCUGUUUGCAUUGGAUGUACAUAACUGUCGUUUUUACCUCUUGCAUAUUUAACAUACAUGACAAUAGUAGUAGGCUAUUGAAAUAUAUGCAAAGGUAGACACGAUCUUUGCUGCUUGUGUCUUAAAUAAAUAAAUAAAAUUAUGUAAUGAUGAUCUGAAAUGUCACACAGGUGACCAUUGGUGCUGCCACCGCCCGUUGUGCCAGUUGGAGGUGCUGCUGCUGCAUCUGGUGGAGUUGCAGCUGCCGCUCCAAAGGGCAACCUUCAUCAGACACAACCCCAUAACAGGGCCUCAAGGUUCUGUUCCCCAUCGCCCCUCUUUCUAAAUUACUGAAAUGAAAAUGGCCAGGCCUGAUGUGCCUCCUGUAUCUAUUGCUCGUUUUAUUAUGAUUUGAUUCACCAAGAGUGAUUCUUCUACUAUCUUGUAGUAAGAUUAAAUGGAACAGCGAGGGAUGUUCCUAAUUCGGUUAUUGCUAGAAUAAUUCAUCAACUUGAGAUAUGCGGGGAUGUUCCGCCUGUCCUUACUGAAGAAGAUUAGAAUGGAAUUAAUUGGAUGGUCCCUUUCAUCAUGCUUAAUUAGCUGUAAAUGUGCCCCCCUUACUGAAGAAGAUAAGAAUCCAUAUGUGUUAUGCAAAAUUAACUUUGUCAUCUUGUAAGUGCUCUAGGCAGUGUCUAGAGGGUGAAAAAUAUGAGAACAAAAAAGAAUUACUUGAUUAAUUUACAACAUCCAUCCUUUACUCCGUCCGUGUCAUUGUUGUUUACCCCUGGGAGUAUUUUUAACUUGAAAAUCUCUGGUGAACUGCCAUUUGGAGUAUAUUUGCUUUCCCUGUUAAUUUUUUGGGUUACUCCAUCUUGCUCUAUUAAGUAAAAUUUGAUAUGUGGAGUAGCAGCAGUAAGCUAGACCCUCCGUCAAUAGACUACACCACAGAGGUCACCCUCAUAUGGAUACCUGAGAUGUUCCUAACGAAUAAAAAUGCACCUGUUAGUUUAAUUCAAUCAUGCACCUAGUAGUUUAAUAGGUACUAUUGAUUGAAUAUGAAUGUUAUUCCAUAUACUCAAAUGGAACUUCGAUGGUUUUUAAACCUUGUCGUGUAUGUGAAACAUUCCAUGCUCGUUUGCUGCUAAGUUUGUCAUAUGUGCCAAUUCAAUUCCCAAUUUUGAUGAAUAGCCAUAUUCUGGAUAAGUAGAAUGAUCUGGUUAAUAAUAAUAAUAAGUAGAAUGAUAAUAUACUGGUGUAUCUUUACUUUUUAUUUUAAAAGUACUCUGUAUUCUAUCAGUGACAUACCUUUUGUUCUCUUUUGAAUGCUCAGAUGUCUUGCAUCAGCCUGUCAUUGCUAAGGGAGAAGCGGGACUUGGAGAAGAAAUCUUUCCAUUAAGCAGAUUACAUGUUUGGUUGCUGUGAAGUACCAGAUAGGCUAGUUCUAUUUUUUUCACGAUCCUGGAGUAUUUCAGCAGCGCCAUGCAAAUGCAGUAGUGUUAGGUUUCUGAUUCACCUUUUGUAAAAACUUAGUUAGCCCGCAGUCAGUCAGUAGUAGCUCAGCCAGCCAGCCAGCCUCAUAUAGUAUUGCUAGAAUGAAUGGUUGUAAUAUAAUAACAUUGCACGUUGCUUUGAAAAUGUAUCAGAACUGGGCUAGGCCCAAGAUAGCUUGUGGUGUGAUGUGUUGUAAUGUCAAUGGCAUAAUAUUUUUUUUGGAUUGGAUCAAUUUUUUCGGAACUGGGCUAGGCCCAAGUUAUAUUGGACAAUUAUUUUUGAGGGAAAAA